AGACGUCCCAAGCGUUGUUCGGAUUCACUGGGCGUAAAGGGUGCGUAGGUGGCCAGGUAAGUUUGGUGUGAAAGCUCGGAGCUUAACUCCGAAAAGUCAUUGAAUACUAUCUGGCUGGAGGGUCGUAGGGGAGACUGGAAUUCUCGGUGUAGCAGUGAAAUGCGUAGAUAUCGAGAGGAACACCAGUGGCGAAGGCGAGUCUCUGGACGACUCCUGACACUGAGGCACGAAAGCUAGGGGAGCAAACAGGAUUAGAUACCCUGGUAGUCCUAGCUGUAAACGGUGCACGUUUGCUGUAAGAGGAAUCGACCCCUUUUGUGGCGAAGCUAACGCGCUAAACGUGCCGCCUGGGGAGUACGGUCGCAAGAUUA
Molecule: ribosomal RNA, 371 nt
Filed under: uncultured bacterium
Lineage: Bacteria
Description: bacterial SSU rRNA
Rfam family: Bacterial small subunit ribosomal RNA
Source: RNAcentral